Molecule: ribosomal RNA, 451 nt
Filed under: uncultured bacterium
Lineage: Bacteria
Description: bacterial SSU rRNA
Rfam family: Bacterial small subunit ribosomal RNA
Source: RNAcentral
GGUUUGAUUAUGGCUCAGGAUGAACGCUGGCGGCGUGCUUAACACAUGCAAGUCGAACGAACCUUCGGGUUAGUGGCGGACGGGUGAGUAACGCGUGGGAAUCUGCCCUCAGGAGGGGGAUAACGGCCGGAAACGGCCGCUAAUACCCCAUAUGCCGAGAGGUGAAAUGAAUUUCGCCUGAGGAUGAGCCCGCGUCUGAUUAGCUAGUUGGUGAGGUAAGAGCUCACCAAGGCAUCGAUCAGUAGCUGGUCUGAGAGGAUGAUCAGCCACACUGGGACUGAGACACGGCCCAGACUCCUACGGGAGGCAGCAGUGGGGAAUUUUCCGCAAUGGGCGAAAGCCUGACGGAGCAACGCCGCGUGAGGGAUGAAGGCCUCUGGGCUGUAAACCUCUUUUAUCAAGGAAGAAGAUCUGACGGUACUUGAUGAAUAAGCCACGGCUAAUUCCGUGC